This 662-nucleotide long non-coding RNA is filed under the name Pongo abelii (Sumatran orangutan). Its description in RNAcentral is "lincRNA". The record is from RNAcentral. Lineage: Eukaryota; Metazoa; Chordata; Mammalia; Primates; Hominidae.
UUUCAGAGACAGGAUCUUGCUAUGUUGCCCAGGCUGAACUCAAACUCCUGGGUUCAAGUGAUUCUUCUGCCUCAGCCUCCUGAGUAGCUGAGACUACAGGUGUGUGCCACUGUGCCCAGCAAGAUUUUUAAAAAAAAAGUAUGCCCGGACACCACUGUAAACCAACUAAAUCAGAAUCAGAUAUAGUGAAGUCAUUAAUCAUUUUGCUCCUGGGUCUUUAUGACAGUUUUGCUCCUGGAAAACUCCUGGGAAUGUGGUAGAGAGAGAGAAAGAGGUGGGAAAAUAAGAUUUUAAGAAGUGUUGCUAUGCAUUUUGAAAAUAAUUUUUCUUUGGUGUUUUUCUUGAGGGACGGCGGUAAGCAUUUCAGUUGCCUUUAAGUAUGUUUGGAUGUUGGAAUGAUGGUUCUUUGAAUGUAGCAUCGAACUUGUAUUGGGCCACAUGGCAGCCAGCGUGAGGCUUUAUGCCACAUUUAUAAAAUAUGAGUGUCAUGAGCCCACUCUCAGGGACCUUACAAUUUGGAGGGUUAGGUCAGAUCCACAAAUCUCUUCUAUCUCAUGGUAAAGGAAACCUGGCGUGUAGCAGGAGAUGGCGUGAUAACAAUAACAUAUUGCAUGAUCAAUAUUUGUAUUCUUCUUAGCAAUAUUAAACUUUUUGACCCUCUC